This 333-nucleotide ribosomal RNA is filed under the name Triticum aestivum (bread wheat). Its description in RNAcentral is "partial small subunit ribosomal RNA". Lineage: Eukaryota; Viridiplantae; Streptophyta; Magnoliopsida; Poales; Poaceae. The record is from RNAcentral.
AUGUUCUUCUUCUUCGUGGGCGGCGUGGAGCAGGGCGCGGGGCGGGUGCUCAAGGAGGCGGCCGGGCGGUGCGUGCGCUGCGGCGGCGCGGCCGACCUGGUGGAGACCGAGAAGGUGCUCAAGCUCUUCUUCGUGCCGGCGUGGCGGUGGCCGGGCAAGGACCCCGCCUACCUCUGCCGCGACUGCGGCCUCCUCGCGCCGGGGUCCCUCGGCGGCGGGGAGCCGGGCCCGGGACCGCUCCUCCCCCGCGCGGGGGCGGCGCAGUGCGGCGCGUGCAGCCGCGCCGUCGACCCGCAGUUCCGCUUCUGCCCCUUCUGCGGCUCCGCGCUGUGA